RNAcentral lists this ribosomal RNA (253 nucleotides) under uncultured bacterium. RNAcentral's name for it is "partial 16S ribosomal RNA". It matches the Rfam family "Bacterial small subunit ribosomal RNA", at positions 524 to 776 of the family's 1533-position model. The record is from RNAcentral.
UACGUAGGGGGCAAGCGUUGUCCGGAUUUAUUGGGCGUAAAGAGCGUGUAGGCGGCCAUACAGGUCAGCUGUGAAAACUCGAGGCUCAACCUCGAGACGUCGGUUGAAACCGUAUGGCUAGAGUCCGGAAGAGGAGAGUGGAAUUCCCGGUGUAGCGGUGAAAUGCGCAGAUAUCGGGAAGAACACCCGUGGCGAAGGCGGCUCUCUGGGACGGUACUGACGCUGAGACGCGUAAGCGUGGGGAGCGAACAGG